This 313-nucleotide long non-coding RNA is filed under the name Pan troglodytes (chimpanzee). RNAcentral describes it as "long non-coding RNA NONPTRT002077". The record is from RNAcentral. Lineage: Eukaryota; Metazoa; Chordata; Mammalia; Primates; Hominidae.
CGGGUGCGAGAGGGGGCAGAGCACCGGACAACAACAGCAGCAGCAACAACGAGGUCGCCGCCACCAUGGCCCUGCAGAAUCCCAAGCUCGGGUGACCGGGAGAUAAUGCACAAAACAUUCAACCAGGAUGCCGAGGACCCCUCGCUCAGGAGAAAUCAGCUCAGCAUUGGCUGCAGUUCCUGCCAAAGGCAGCAAGCCCAGCUCUGCAACAGGAUACUGCAAAACUGUGAUGGCAGGAAAAUAGGGUCUGGAGGCAGGGAACCUAAGGCCGAUUCACACUGACUUUGUAGAACUAAAUCAAAAGGAAAACCCC